UACAGAGGUCUCAAGCGUUGUUCGGAUUCAUUGGGCGUAAAGGGCGCGUAGGCGGCGUGGUAAGUCACUUGUGAAAUCUCUGAGCUUAACUCAGAACGGCCAAGUGAUACUGCUGUGCUAGAGUGCAGAAGGGGCAAUCGGAAUUCUUGGUGUAGCGGUGAAAUGCGUAGAUAUCAAGAGGAACACCUGAGGUGAAGACGGGUUGCUGGGCUGACACUGACGCUGAUGCGCGAAAGCUAGGGGAGCAAACGGG
Molecule: ribosomal RNA, 253 nt
Filed under: uncultured bacterium
Lineage: Bacteria
Description: partial 16S ribosomal RNA
Rfam family: Bacterial small subunit ribosomal RNA
Source: RNAcentral